UACGUAGGGCGCAAGCGUUGUCCGGAAUUAUUGGGCGUAAAGAGCUCGUAGGCGGCUUGUCACGUCGGGUGUGAAAGCCCGGGGCUUAACCCCGGGUCUGCAUUCGAUACGGGCAGGCUAGAGUGUGGUAGGGGAGAUCGGAAUUCCUGGUGUAGCGGUGAAAUGCGCAGAUAUCAGGAGGAACACCGGUGGCGAAGGCGGGUCUCUGGGUCGAUACUGACGCUGAGGAGCGAAAGCGUGGGGAGCAAACAGG
This 253-nucleotide ribosomal RNA is filed under the name uncultured bacterium. RNAcentral's name for it is "partial 16S ribosomal RNA". It matches the Rfam family "Bacterial small subunit ribosomal RNA", at positions 524 to 776 of the family's 1533-position model. The record is from RNAcentral.